Molecule: non-coding RNA, 376 nt
Organism: Paramuricea clavata
Lineage: Eukaryota; Metazoa; Cnidaria; Anthozoa; Malacalcyonacea; Plexauridae
Source: the annotation of a GenBank genome assembly
GGAAAAACAAUGGGAGCGCGGCGAGUGUAUCUAAAAGUCGAGGGUCGAGAGUCGAGAGUAAAGGUCGAGAGUCGAGAGUAAAAGUCGAGAGUCGAGAGUAAAAGUCGAGAGUAAAAAGUCGAGAGUCGAGAGUAAAAAGUCGAGAGUCGAUCGAGAGUGAAAAGUCGAGAGUCGAUCGAGAGUAAAAAGUCGAGAGUCGGCAAAUGUCAUCAGAAACAACAAAGUCAAAAUAUUUUUAACACAAUAUAUAACCGAUCCGUAACAACAGCUGAUUAUAGCCGUACGGGCGGGAGGGGGGGGGGGAGGCAGUCCCGCCCCCCAGUCAAAAUAAAGUCAUGCAAAUUAUAAACGUAUAAAUUCGGGCAAAAAUUGGGGG